UAGGGAAUUUUCCGCAAUGGACGCAAGUCUGACGGAGCAACGCCGCGUGAGUGAAGAAGGAUUUCGGUUCGUAAAACUUUGUCGUUAGAGAAGAACAGCGCAUAGAGUAACUGUUAUGCGUGUGACGGUAUCUAACCAGAAAGCCACGGCUAACUACGUGCCAGCAGCCGCGGUAAUACGUAGGUGGCAAGCGAUGUCCGGAUUUAUUGGGCGUAAAGCGAGCGCAGGCGGUGGAUUAAGUCUGAUGUGAAAGCCCCCGGCUCAACCGGGGAGGGUCAGUGGGACCUGGAUGACUUAAGUGCAGAAGAGGUGAGUGGAAUUCCAUGUGUAACGGUGAAAUGCGUGGUUAUGUGGGGGAAAACCAGUGGCGAAGGCGACUCUCUUGUCUGUAACUGACGCUGAAGCUCGAAAACGUGGGUAGCAGACAGG
RNAcentral lists this ribosomal RNA (429 nucleotides) under Bacteroidota bacterium. RNAcentral's name for it is "Bacteroidetes bacterium partial 16S ribosomal RNA". It matches the Rfam family "Bacterial small subunit ribosomal RNA", at positions 355 to 776 of the family's 1533-position model. Lineage: Bacteria; Pseudomonadati; Bacteroidota. The record is from RNAcentral.